GAGUUAGCCGAUGCUUAUUCCCCAGAUACCGUCAGGUUUCUUCUCUGGGAAAAGGAGUUAACAACCCAAUAGGCCUUCACCCUCCACGCGGCAUUGCUCCGUCAGGCUUUCGCCCAUUGCGGAAAAUUCCCUA
This 133-nucleotide ribosomal RNA is filed under the name uncultured bacterium. RNAcentral's name for it is "partial 16S ribosomal RNA". The record is from RNAcentral.